RNAcentral lists this transfer RNA (71 nucleotides) under Clathrina clathrus. RNAcentral's name for it is "tRNA-Arg". Lineage: Eukaryota; Metazoa; Porifera; Calcarea; Clathrinida; Clathrinidae. The record is from RNAcentral.
GCUUCCAUAGUUUAACGGUAUAACUGUAGCCUUCUAGUCUAAAAGUCCGGGUUCGACUCCAGGAGAAUCAA